Molecule: unclassified non-coding RNA, 254 nt
Filed under: Hevea brasiliensis (rubber tree)
Lineage: Eukaryota; Viridiplantae; Streptophyta; Magnoliopsida; Malpighiales; Euphorbiaceae
Source: RNAcentral
AUAUGCGCAUUGUGGAGAAGUGGACAACUGCUUUGAAGAAAGCAGCCAAUCUAGCAGGAUGGGAUUCAGCUGCUUCCAGACCUGACUCCACCCUUAUCAAUGGAAUUGUAAAUCAUAUAUUGAAGAAGUUGAAUCGUACACCAUCAAGUGAUACUGAGGGACAGAUUGGAAUAGAAUCCUCCUUAGAGCAAGUGGAAAAAUUAUUAGAUAUUAAAUUUCCUGAUGUCUGUAUUAUAGGAAUUUGGGGCAUGGGU